Non-coding RNA from Seminavis robusta, 242 nucleotides. Lineage: Eukaryota; Bacillariophyta; Bacillariophyceae; Naviculales; Naviculaceae. The record is from the annotation of a GenBank genome assembly.
AGCUUGCAACUGAGACUGAUGUGACUGAUUGACUUGUACAAGGGCAUGUUGUUGGAGUUCUAAAUCUUGUUCCAGAUCCAUCACAUGGGAUUGUAAACGGUCCAAUUCUCUUUGAUCCUCCAACUGGGAAACAUUCAUGUGAUUCACCACAUCUUCUAACACUGAAAGUUUGGCCUGCAGCAGGAUGCUGUUGCCAUCAUUGCCAUCACUAUUUAGUUCUUGUGGUUGCAGCUCUGCUUCUG